AGCUUGUAAGGUGUAUAAAUGAAUGUGCUGGCUGUGUCAGUGUGUUUAAAAGAGGUUGCAGUGCUAACGACCACUCAUAUCUGCUUAAUCAAAGACUCACAAUGACAAGUCUCAGUUUGAUUGUGUCUCUAUUUGUUGUAACUCUGAUGGUGUCCACAACCUCAGGUCAAGGUAAGAGCAGUAUUAGAUUACUAUUUGUCUACCUUUUCUCUAUGUUUGUUGUACUUCAAAAAUACAUGUAUAAUUUUGGAAUUGUGAAAAUAUGUUGAUGUUAACAAGAGACUCUUACUUGUUAAUUCAAAGGUGGGAUAGGCAGUUGCUGCAGAAUACUCACAUCCACUCAAGUCCACCGAGAUCGGCUGAAAAGUUACUAUAUACAGUAUAAGUCCUCAUGCCCUCUUCAUGCAGUGGUGUAAGUAUACCUUUCAGAAUUAACCUAAACACUUUUUUAAAAUCCAUCUUUAAAUGUUGUAACAUGUUCCUGAAUGUUUUCAUGUUCUUAUUUUUAACAGAUUUACUACAGUUUAUGGUAAAAGAAUCUGCUCCAGCCCCAGCCGAGUGUGGACAAAGACCAGCAUGGCCUAUCUGGAUGGAAAGAACUGGCAACUCCAACAAUUGGUCAUGAAGUGAUACCAUCACUGACACAAUAUCCAGCCUCCAGCCAGUACUAAAAAAAGGACUGCACUAUUAAAUUAAGACUAAAAGGUCUCCUUUGACGAAAAGAUUGUCUACUGUUUUAUAAUGUCCACAGAGUCUGAAUGUUUCCAUGUUUUUAACAAAUUUCUUACCUUAAGCUAGUUAAGUUAUACUUCUAAGAAGGAUUUUUACUAAUCAUUAUAUAUCUAAUGAUGUUUCUUUAUAUGUAAACAUUUGAAAAUGAUGUUUCUUCUUUAUUGUACUAUGACCCCAAGUGAUGUGAAAAAUAAAAAUGGCCACAUGUA
Non-coding RNA from Xyrichtys novacula (pearly razorfish), 941 nucleotides. The record is from the annotation of a GenBank genome assembly. NCBI's taxonomy places the organism in Eukaryota, Metazoa, Chordata, Actinopteri, Labriformes, Labridae.